GUCCGUCUGUUCGUUCGUCCGUACGUUCGUCCGUUCGUUCGUCCGUCUGUCCCGUUUCAGGUUAAAGUUCUUGGUCAAGGUAGUUUUUGAUGAAGCUGUAGUCCGAACAACUUGAAACUUAGUAUACAUGUUCCCUAUGGUAUGAUCUUUCUAGAUUUAAUGCCAAAUAAGAGAUUUUAACCAAAUUUCACGGUCCAUUGAACAUAGAAAAUGAUGUUGCGAGUGGGCCAUCC
RNAcentral lists this long non-coding RNA (233 nucleotides) under Mytilus galloprovincialis (Mediterranean mussel). Lineage: Eukaryota; Metazoa; Mollusca; Bivalvia; Mytilida; Mytilidae. The record is from RNAcentral.